GGAGGGUUUGCAUUUGUGUAUGAAGCUCAAGAUCUGGGAAGUGGCAGAGAAUAUGCAUUAAAGAGGUUACUGUCCAACGAAGAGGAAAAGAACAGAGCCAUCAUUCAGGAAGUUUGCUUCUUG
This is a long non-coding RNA of Dipodomys ordii (Ord's kangaroo rat), 123 nucleotides long. RefSeq lists it as uncharacterized. Lineage: Eukaryota; Metazoa; Chordata; Mammalia; Rodentia; Heteromyidae. The transcript is spliced from 2 exons. The record is from RefSeq and is a predicted model, not a curated record.